AGUGGCGGACGGGUGAGUAACGCGUGAGAAUCUGCCUUCAGGAGGGGGACAACAGUUGGAAACGGCUGCUAAUACCCCGUAAGUCUACGGAUAAAACGGUUAAUUCCGCCUGAAGAUGAGCUCGCGUCGGAUUAGCUAGUUGGUGGGGUAAAGGCUUACCAAGGCGACGAUCCGUAGCUGGUCUGAGAGGAUGAUCAGCCACACUGGGACUGAGACACGGCCCAGACUCCUACGGGAGGCAGCAGUGGGGAAUUUUCCGCAAUGGGCGAAAGCCUGACGGAGCAACGCCGCGUGCGGGAGGACGGCCUGUGGGUUGUAAACCGCUUUUCUCAGGGAACAAGAUCUGACGGUACCUGAGGAAUCAGCAUCGGCUAACUCCGUGCCAGCAGCCGCGGUAAUACGGAGGAUGCAAGCGUUAUCCGGAUUUAUUGGGCGUAAAGCGUCCGCAGGCGGCUAAUCAAGUCUGCUGUUAAAGGCCGAGGCUUAACUUCGGUUGAGCAGUGGAAACUGAUUAGCUAGAGUGCGAUAGGGGUAGAGGGAAUUCCCAGUGUAGCGGUGAAAUGCGUAGAUAUUGGGAAGAACACCAGUGGCGAACGCGCUCUACUGGGUCGCAACUGACGCUGAGGGACGAAAGCUAGGGGAGCGAAAGGGAUUAGAUACCCC
RNAcentral lists this ribosomal RNA (663 nucleotides) under uncultured bacterium. Its description in RNAcentral is "bacterial SSU rRNA". It matches the Rfam family "Bacterial small subunit ribosomal RNA", at positions 94 to 788 of the family's 1533-position model. The record is from RNAcentral.